RNAcentral lists this ribosomal RNA (497 nucleotides) under uncultured bacterium. RNAcentral's name for it is "partial 16S ribosomal RNA". It matches the Rfam family "Bacterial small subunit ribosomal RNA", at positions 28 to 507 of the family's 1533-position model. The record is from RNAcentral.
GAUGAACGCUGGCGGCGUGCCUAAUACAUGCAAGUCGAGCGAACAGACGAGGAGCUUGCUCCUCUGACGUUAGCGGCGGACGGGUGAGUAACACGUGGAUAACCUACCUAUAAGACUGGGAUAACUUCGGGAAACCGGAGCUAAUACCGGAUAAUAUAUUGAACCGCAUGGUUCAAUAGUGAAAGACGGUUUUGCUGUCACUUAUAGAUGGAUCCGCGCCGCAUUAGCUCGUUGGUAAGGUAACGGCUUACCAAGGCAACGAUGCGUAGCCGACCUGAGAGGGUGAUCGGCCACACUGGAACUGAGACACGGUCCAGACUCCUGCGGUAGGCAGCAGUAGGGAAUCUUCCGCAAUGGGCGAAAGCCUGACGGAGCAACGCCGCGUGAGUGAUGAAGGUCUUCGGAUCGUAAAACUCUGUUAUUAGGGAAGAACAAAUGUGUAAGUAACUAUGCACGUCUUGACGGUACCUAAUCAGAAAGCCACGGCUAACUACGUG